GAAAGAAUUAUAAACUUCGUGUGACUUUUCAAAACAACCCAGUGAGCCCAGUGUUGGCAAAUAGCAGUCAGCCGAGAUAAGCGGCCAUUCUAGGAGCAAAGGCCCUUGUGCCAGGAAAACAAGAACAAGCACGAGCGAGAAGCAGGGCAAUGCAAUCCACAAACACAAUUCAUGCUUUACAGCUGUGUGACAAUGCUUCUUUUGCUUGGACCUCAGGCUCUGCAAACUGCAGCACAGAGGAGGACUUUAGAACAGAAACUUGCUAGUGGAGCAAGAUGAAGGAGGAAAAAGAGCUGGAAGAUGCGUGUCUACACUGAGGGCAGGAUGGAAUCUACAGAGCGCCUCUGCCACUGUGCUUACCGUGUGGUUCCCUUUCUCCCUGCACUUGGAUCAGACACCCCCAACAAUGAGAAUUUAAGCUGGAUCUCCUAGAGGAGUUGGGAUCAAGGUUAUGUACUUGGAGAAUAAGAGAGAAGGACCCAGCUGGGCACGGUGGCUCACACCUGUAAUCCUAGCACUUUGGGAGGCCAAGGUGGGUGGAUCACCUGAGGUCAUGAGCUCCAGACCAGGCUGGCCAACA
RNAcentral lists this long non-coding RNA (580 nucleotides) under Rhinopithecus roxellana (golden snub-nosed monkey). Its description in RNAcentral is "lncRNA (ENSRROG00000046036.1)". The record is from RNAcentral. Lineage: Eukaryota; Metazoa; Chordata; Mammalia; Primates; Cercopithecidae.